This is a non-coding RNA of Caenorhabditis elegans, 48 nucleotides long. Lineage: Eukaryota; Metazoa; Nematoda; Chromadorea; Rhabditida; Rhabditidae. The record is from Ensembl.
UUUGGGUCUGCUAAUUAAUUUUUGUAGUUUGUAGUCUAGCAGACCGAC